RNAcentral lists this ribosomal RNA (253 nucleotides) under uncultured bacterium. RNAcentral's name for it is "partial 16S ribosomal RNA". It matches the Rfam family "Bacterial small subunit ribosomal RNA", at positions 524 to 776 of the family's 1533-position model. The record is from RNAcentral.
UACGAAGGGGGCUAGCGUUGCUCGGAAUUACUGGGCGUAAAGCGUGCGCAGGCGGUUUUGCAAGCCGGAUGUGAAAUCCCCGGGCUUAACCUGGGAAUGGCAUUUGGGACUGCAAGGCUGGAGUGCGGCAGAGGAGACUGGAAUUCCUGGUGUAGCAGUGAAAUGCGUAGAUAUCAGGAGGAACACCGAUGGCGAAGGCAGGUCUCUGGGCUGACACUGACGCUCAUGCACGAAAGCGUGGGGAGCAAACAGG